UUUCCGUAGGUGAACCUGCGGAAGGAUCAUUAACACGUUUUCCGAACGUUUUUUGACCCAUCUAUCUUCUGUGAACUAUCAACCCGGCCUCCCGACUCAAACUGCUGGUUUACUGGCUGUGUUCGGUCGGGCGUCUGUAGGGCUCAUAGGUGCAGCUUCCAGAACAAGAUGUGCCGGCGUAAUGCUGGUCGCUCUAGUAUGGUCGUGGGACCUCCUGCAGGCGUUGCCACCCAACCCCAAACCCUUGAAUCUAAUUGCUCUGAACUUUUUAGUUGUGCGCACUCGUUGUGCCAACGAAUUUAAACCAACAACAACUCUUAACAACGGAUAUCUUGGUUCUCGCAUCGAUGAAGAACACAGC
RNAcentral lists this unclassified non-coding RNA (361 nucleotides) under plant metagenome. Its description in RNAcentral is "partial contains small subunit ribosomal RNA, internal transcribed spacer 1, and 5.8S ribosomal RNA". The stretch from base 313 to 361 matches the Rfam family "5.8S ribosomal RNA", at positions 1 to 49 of the family's 154-position model. The record is from RNAcentral.